CACGCCGUAAACGAUGAGUACUAAGUGUCGGGAUAACCCGGUGCUGCAGUUAACGCAUUAAGUACUCCGCCUGAGUAGUACGUGCGCAAGCAUAAAACUCAAAGGAAUUGGCGGGACCUCGCACAAGCGGUGGAUCAUGUUGUUUAAUUCGACGAUACGCGAAGAACCUUACCAGGCCUUGACAUACCGAGCAAUGCUAUGGAGACAUAGUGGAGGUUAUCUGGGAUACAGGUGG
Molecule: ribosomal RNA, 235 nt
Filed under: uncultured Acholeplasma sp.
Lineage: Bacteria; Bacillati; Mycoplasmatota; Mollicutes; Acholeplasmatales; Acholeplasmataceae
Description: partial 16S ribosomal RNA
Rfam family: Bacterial small subunit ribosomal RNA
Source: RNAcentral